This is a long non-coding RNA of Carassius carassius (crucian carp), 621 nucleotides long. RefSeq lists it as uncharacterized. Lineage: Eukaryota; Metazoa; Chordata; Actinopteri; Cypriniformes; Cyprinidae. The transcript is spliced from 3 exons. The record is from RefSeq and is a predicted model, not a curated record.
UCUCGCGUUCAGUCCAUCAUUUUCACGUCUCUCGCGCUCGGCGCUUGUUUGCUGACGAACAAAAACGCGAAAGGAUGUAAAUGAAUGAAAGGAAAGCGGCUCGCGCACGCAGAGCGCGAACAAAAGCAGUUGAGCCACAAUGGAGGAGCGUUUAGCAGUGCGUGUGAUGCUGCAGAGCCUCCUCUAACUUUCAUCCUUCACUUUCAUUUGAAUCCGAAGACACGAGGACGCGCACGUUUUGAAAGUGUCUCACAGAUGAGCUCUGCUUCAGUACAGUGGUGAAAGAUGAACUGAGUUGAUCUGAUCCUCUGUGGAGCUUCGCUGAUGUCACUUCCUGUAAGUGAAGUGAUUCGAGAAAUGCCCAUGCCUUUAUUUUCAAAAUAUGCAUAGCUGUACUUCACACACUCAUCUCAAAGUCUCUAGAUGAAUUAUAAAAUCUGUAAAUGAAUAUUUCAAUAAAACUACCUGUAUGUUAGAUUCACUAAUGCAAUGAGCCUCAGAAACUCACCUGAUUCUGUAAUUAAUACUGUAAUGAGUAACUGCAUAUCAGUGAAGCUGUAACUCAUCAUCGUGUGCUCGAGUAAAGCUGAAUGUGUGAUGAUCUUCAAUAAAGCUUCUACA